GCGGGUGUAGUUCAAUGGUAGAACUCCAGCCUUCCAAGCUGGCCGUGAGGGUCCGAUUCCCUUCACCCGCUCCA
This 74-nucleotide transfer RNA is filed under the name Ruminiclostridium sp. RNAcentral describes it as "tRNA-Gly". It matches the Rfam family "tRNA". Rfam says of the family: Transfer RNA (tRNA) molecules are approximately 80 nucleotides in length. Their secondary structure includes four short double-helical elements and three loops (D, anti-codon, and T loops). The record is from RNAcentral. RNAcentral also lists the same sequence under 1 other name. Lineage: Bacteria; Bacillati; Bacillota; Clostridia; Eubacteriales; Oscillospiraceae.